GAGCUGAAAGUUUAGUAAUUGAAUAUUGGUUUGCAAAACUAAAGGCGUAUGCACUCUACUCAGUUCU
This 67-nucleotide transfer RNA is filed under the name Hoplopleura kitti. RNAcentral's name for it is "tRNA-Cys". It matches the Rfam family "tRNA". From Rfam's summary of the family: Transfer RNA (tRNA) molecules are approximately 80 nucleotides in length. The record is from RNAcentral. Lineage: Eukaryota; Metazoa; Arthropoda; Insecta; Psocodea; Hoplopleuridae.